ACACGUGGUAUCCUGUCUGAAUAUGGGGGGACCAUCCUCCAAGGCUAAAUACUCCUGACUGACCGAUAGUGAACCAGUACCGUGAGGGAAAGGCGAAAAGAACCCCGGCGAGGGGAGUGAAAAAGAACCUGAAACCGUGUACGUACAAGCAGUGGGAGCACGCUUAGGCGUGUGACUGCGUACCUUUUGUAUAAUGGGUCAGCGACUUAUAUUCUGUAGCAAGGUUAACCGAAUAGGGGAGCCGAAGGGAAACCGAGUCUUAACUGGGCGUUAAGUUGCAGGGUAUAGACCCGAAACCCGGUGAUCUAGCCAUGGGCAGGUUGAAGGUUGGGUAACACUAACUGGAGGACCGAACCGACUAAUGUUGAAAAAUUAGCGGAUGACUUGUGGCUGGGGGUGAAAGGCCAAUCAAACCGGGAGAUAGCUGGUUCUCCCCGAAAGCUAUUUAGGUAGCGCCUCGUGAAUUCAUCUCCGGGGGUAGAGCACUGUUUCGGCAAGGGGGUCAUCCCGACUUACCAACCCGAUGCAAACUGCGAAUACCGGAGAAUGUUAUCACGGGAGACACACGGCGGGUGCUAACGUCCGUCGUGAAGAGGGAAACAACCCAGACCGCCAGCUAAGGUCCCAAAGUCAUGGUUAAGUGGGAAACGAUGUGGGAAGGCCCAGACAGCCAGGAUGUUGGCUUAGAAGCAGCCAUCAUUUAAAGAAAGCGUAAUAGCUCACUGGUCGAGUCGGCCUGCGCGGAAGAUGUAACGGGGCUAAACCAUGCACCGAAGCUGCGGCAGCGACGCUGAUGCGUUGUUGGGUAGGGGAGCGUUCUGUAAGCCUG
This 829-nucleotide ribosomal RNA is filed under the name Escherichia coli. RNAcentral's name for it is "partial 23S ribosomal RNA". It matches the Rfam family "Bacterial large subunit ribosomal RNA", at positions 422 to 1251 of the family's 2925-position model. The record is from RNAcentral. Lineage: Bacteria; Pseudomonadati; Pseudomonadota; Gammaproteobacteria; Enterobacterales; Enterobacteriaceae.